UCUUUGGCUCACUUGGAUCCAUUGGCUUCACGGGAGACUGGAAUGCGGAUGCCACUGAUACCGCCGGAGUCUUCAACAAGAACCUCGGCACGAUCGGACUCAACAACACCAACACCAAUGGCAACGGCAUCGGCGAUAUCACCUUCAGCUUCGGGCAGAACGGCGAUAUUCCGCUCGCCGGUGAUUGGGACGGCCUACCGUAAAGCGCAGUUA
This 213-nucleotide unclassified non-coding RNA is filed under the name uncultured bacterium. Its description in RNAcentral is "contains 16S-23S intergenic spacer region". The record is from RNAcentral.